AUGUCUUUAUGCUUAUUGGAAAGUUUUUGCGAUGAGGCGUUUUACCAAAUGACUUGUCAGUAUUAAUAUCUGAUACGUCCCAGACUAAGGGAUUGAAUAUUAAUCUAAUUUUUGUUGGAAGGAGUUGGUUUGGAAGCUUGCUCCACUAACAUCUCUCAUCGUUCUACUAUUGCAGUGUUUCUGGGAAUGGUGCAUCCCCU
Small nuclear RNA from Hemiscyllium ocellatum (epaulette shark), 200 nucleotides. RefSeq annotates it as U2 spliceosomal RNA. Lineage: Eukaryota; Metazoa; Chordata; Chondrichthyes; Orectolobiformes; Hemiscylliidae. The transcript has a single exon. The record is from RefSeq and is a predicted model, not a curated record.